GCCUUACCCAUUAUGCCUAGCUGGCAAGGACAGGGAAACAUGUGACCUUCCACCAGGGAGUAAAUUACAGCUAAGCAAGUCCAUUUGAGGAGGCAGUGUCUUUAGACAAAUAGCCUGACACUCCACAGAUGGAAACAAACCUGGGAACCUUGGCUGGGUUUUCUGAUGGGCAUCUGAAGCUUCAUUGAAGGGCAGGAUCUGAGAGCCGGAGGGGCAGACCACACUUGGCUUCAUGUGAAAGCCUUUAUGAGCAGUUGACUGAGGAAGAAAAAUCUUGACCUGGUUUACAGAUGGCUCCGCACAAUAUGGAGUCACCACCUCAAAGUGGACAUCUGUACCACUAGAGCCCUUCCUGAGACAUCUCUGACAGUAGGGAAGGUGAACUUCCUGGUAGGCAAAACUUUGAGAGAGGGAAUUGAGAAGUGAAUGGAGGCUUGGAUGCAGGCACUCACGGAGAACUCUCAGAGUGAAAAGAAAGCAACCAGGUAAAGGAAUCAUAGAAGGAGGAAGAAUACUUCCUGGAAGUUUCAUGAAUAUGCGCCUGAUGCUUUCACUCCAUAAACCUUCAUGUCCGGCUCCCAAUGAGCCAUGCCUCAUCUCACCAGCUGGACUCAUUAUGUGUGUUUUAAGUGGCUGAAUCAUCGCCUUUUCUCCCUCUCACAUUACUUCACAAACACUAAAAGGCAGAAUUGUCUUCUUUCCCAUGAUCUAGUCUCAUGUCUCAUAGCAAAGUAAUACCCAUUGAACUAAAAUAGCUGUCAACUUGCUAAUAAAUAAGAAGUAUUAAACUAAACUCACACUAAUGGAGCUGUGUAGGGGUGACAAGGUAUUCAGAGCCAGUCAAGCGUCCCAGCAGCUCACUCCUGAGGGCGCCACUUCAUAAACAGAGGCAUUGAUGGGCAUCCCUGAACGCCGGGGGCUUCCCAAUUCCCACAUGUCAUGAACAAGUGAGGACAGAUAUUAAUUGGAAUGGUACUUGAUAUCACCAUCAGAGUUAAACAAACUUGCCA
Molecule: long non-coding RNA, 1010 nt
Filed under: Homo sapiens (human)
Lineage: Eukaryota; Metazoa; Chordata; Mammalia; Primates; Hominidae
Description: HSALNT0225469
Source: RNAcentral